This 64-nucleotide transfer RNA is filed under the name Furcilarnaca wufengensis. RNAcentral describes it as "tRNA-Trp". The record is from RNAcentral. Lineage: Eukaryota; Metazoa; Arthropoda; Insecta; Orthoptera; Gryllacrididae.
AAGGUUUUAAGUUAAUUAAACUAAUAGCCUUCAAAGCUGACAAUAAAUAUAUAUUUAAACCUUA